UCGGUUUAAAUAACAGGUGAAGAAAGGGCCGGGCAAGACCGGUGCCAGCCGCCGCGGUAAUACCGGCGGCUCGAGUGGUGGCCACUAUUACUGGGCUUAAAGCGUUCGUAGCUGGUUUGUUAAGUCUCUGGGGAAAUCUUCCGGCUUAACCGGAAGGCGUCUCAGGGAUACUGGCAGACUAGGGACCGGGAGAGGUGAGGGGUACUCCAGGGGUAGGAGUGAAAUCCUGUAAUCCUUGGGGGACCACCUGUGGCGAAGGCGCCUCACCAGAACGGCUCCGACAGUGAGGGACGAAAGCUGGGGGAGCAAACCGGAUUAGAUACCCGGGUAGUCCCAGCUGUAAACGAUGUGCGUUAGGUGUAUCAGUGACCACGAGUCACUGAGGUGCCGAAGAGAAAUCGUGAAACGUACCGCCUGGGAAGUACGGUCGCAAGGCUGAAACUUAAAGGAAUUGGCGGGGGAGCACCACAACGGGUGGAGCCUGCGGUUUAAUCGGACUCAACGCCGGGAAACUCACCAGAUAAGACAGCUGAAUGAUUGUCGGGCUGAAGACUCUACAUGACUAGCUGAGAGGAGGUGCAUGGCCGUCGUCAGUUCGUACUGUGAAGCAUCCUGUUAAGUCAGGCAACGAGCGAGACCCACGCCAACAGUUGCCAGCUCGUCCUCCGGGAUGGAGGGGACACUGUUGGGACCGCCUCUGCUAAAGAGGAGGAAGGAAUGGGCAACGGUAGGUCAGCAUGCCCCGAAUUAUCUGGGCUACACGCGGGCUACAAUGGGUGGGACAAUGGGUAUCGACACCGAAAGGUGAAGGCAAUCUCCUAAACCCAUCCUUAGUUCGGAUUGUGGAA
This 848-nucleotide ribosomal RNA is filed under the name uncultured methanogenic archaeon. Its description in RNAcentral is "bacterial SSU rRNA". It matches the Rfam family "Archaeal small subunit ribosomal RNA", at positions 414 to 1261 of the family's 1478-position model. The record is from RNAcentral. Lineage: Archaea; Methanobacteriati; Methanobacteriota.